This 266-nucleotide signal recognition particle RNA is filed under the name Clostridiales bacterium. RNAcentral's name for it is "signal recognition particle sRNA large type". It matches the Rfam family "Bacterial large signal recognition particle RNA". Rfam says of the family: The signal recognition particle (SRP) is a universally conserved ribonucleoprotein involved in the co-translational targeting of proteins to membranes. Archaeal SRP consists of a 7S RNA and homologues of the eukaryotic SRP19 and SRP54 proteins. The record is from RNAcentral. Lineage: Bacteria; Bacillati; Bacillota; Clostridia; Eubacteriales.
CCGUGCUAGACGGGGAGACUGCGGUGCCCUGUAACCUGCAAUCCGCAACAGCAGGGUUGAAUUCCUUUGCCGAGGCGUUUGCCUGUAAGGACUGCCCCAGGUAAGUGGUGUUGAUGAUUGGGUCCUGCGCAAUGGAAAUUCAUGAACCCCGUCAGGUCCGGAAGGAAGCAGCGGUAAGUGAACCCUUUCAUGUGCCGCGGGGAAGCCUGGCUGGAGCUAACUGCCCUGGUAUCGCCUGUGGGAGUAAGUCGGGGAAAGGUGCACGA